CGAGACAAUUUCACAGUGUCCAAAGCCGAUUCUCUGCGCUUGUUAAUUGAAUCGGAUUUCUUAUAGUUUAAAAUCCACACACACACACACACACACAGACACACACACACACACACACUCAUGUAGCUACAGCCCAAACUGUAUAAGGGGUUUAUCUGGCUCUGUAAAGCCAAAGCGGAGAUAUAAAGACACACACAGAGCGACGGGGAGACUUUACCGGCGUGUUUGAGCAUAACGAAAUGUCGAAUAAAAUGUUUUCACCUGCUCAGGUGUGUAGCUGUCCGAGGGCGGCAGCCGGAGGCCUCCGUGGGUGUGUGGGCGUGUGUGCUGGUGUGGACGUGGGGAUACCUCGUGUCUUCAGUGGACGCUUCACUCGCUCCACAUCCAGGUUCCUGUCCAUGCAGUACCAGACAUGAAGACAAACGGUCAAACACAGGACAGUUACAACGCAUCAAUUAAAAUACCAACCUUUGCCAGUACUGUGACUAUAUAUACGUGUCUGAACUGACUGUUAUGUUUCCCUUAUUGGGUUUAAUCUACAUGGCAACGCUUUUCCAAGACGGCUGUUGGCAUGUGUGCAAAGUAGUCCAGGAGAUUUAAUGUGACAAGAUUUGUACGUUUAUACGCAACCUUUUCUUUGUCUAGGAAGACACAAAAUGCUAAUGCUCACAAAGCAAGUGGAGAAAAGACACUAAAACGAAUUAAGAAGCCUUGUCGUCGUGACUUGGCACCUUCUUGCUUUAGUAGUUUUAAGGAGACUAGCAGAGCUUUUUGCUGCCUUCACUGAGACACACUUACACAAGCCUAAUCCUAAUUAUGUCGGUAAACAAAAUGAAGAUCCUCUCUUUGAAUAUCCCUCUUCUCAGUCCCAGAAGUGAAGAUUGUGACUGGUCAGUUCACACGACUGUUUUAGCGUUUAAAAGUCUCAUCUGUUUGGAACCUAAAACCUAUCAUGUGGCUCCUACACACAGUGCACAGGAAGUGUACAGUUAUUGUUUAAGUUAAUCUUAAGGAUUGAAUUCUCAAGUAAGUAAAACAUUUAUAGAAUAAUAAAGUAAUAUUGUUUAACCUGUUAUAAAGUGUAUUUUUAAGUGUCAACUAUGUAAAAGUAUUGACAUAUAUUCUCUGUAAAUUAACAACAUGUCUCUGUAUUUUUGUUAAGCACCAGUUUGAAUAAAGUCAAAUUUUAUUCAC
This is a long non-coding RNA of Amphiprion ocellaris (clown anemonefish), 1194 nucleotides long. RefSeq lists it as uncharacterized. Lineage: Eukaryota; Metazoa; Chordata; Actinopteri; Pomacentridae. The transcript has 2 exons. The record is from RefSeq and is a predicted model, not a curated record.